CUUUAGGCAUGCAAGUCGAACGGGUCUGCUUCGGCGGACCAGUGGCGGACGGGUGAGUAACGCGUGGGAAUCUGCCCUUUGGUGGGGAAUAGUUCCAGGAAACUGGAGGUAAUACCGCAUAAGUCCCGAGAGCAAUCGAGGGAGAAAGGUCGUAACUGACCGCCGAAGGAGGAGCCUGCGUCCUAUCAGCUUGUUGGUGGGGUAAUGGCCUACCAAGGCGACGACGGGUAGCUGGACUGAGAGGUCGGUCAGCCACAAUAGCACUGAGACACGGGCUAUACACCUACGGGUGGCAGCAACCGGGAAUCUUGCGCAAUGGACGAAAGCCUGACGCAGCGACACCGCGUGGAGGAUGAAGGCCUUCGGGUUGUAAACUUCUUUUGUGGUCGAAUAUUCGAUCAAGAAUAAGCACCUGCAAACUACGUGCCAGCAGCAGCGGUAAAACGUAGGGUGCCAGCGUUAUCCGGAUUUAUUGGGCGUAAAGAGUUUCGUAGGCGGUGGGGUAAGUAGUAAGUUAAAGACUCUGGCUCAACUAGAGAAAUGCUUACUAAACUGCUCUACUUGAGGUCGUUAGGGGGUGCUGGAAUUCCUGGUGGAGGGGUGAAAUCCAUUGAUAUCAGGAAGAACGCCGAGGGCGAAGGCAGGCACCUGGGGCGAACCUGACGCUGAUGAACGAAAGCUAGGGGAGCGAAAGGGAUUAGAGACCCCUGUAGUCCUAGCCGUAAACGAUGGACGCUAGCUGGGUCGAAAUUUCGACCUGACGAAGUUAACACAUUAAGCGUCCCGCCUGGGGAGUACGGCCGCAAGGCUAAAACUCAAAGGAAUUGACGGGGACCUGCACAACCAGUGGAGCAUGUGGUUUAAUUCGAAAUGAAGCGAAGAACCUUACCUGGGCUUGACAUGCUAGCUGCAAGUCCGACGAAAGUCGGACCCCUUCGAGGGUGCUAGCACAGCUGCUGCAUGGCUGUCGUCAGCUCGUACCGUGGGGCGUUCUCUUAAGUGAGAUAACGAGCGCAACCCCCGCUCCGUAUUACAUAUUACGGAGAACUGCCUAGCAAUUUGUUAGGAGGAAGGAGGGGAUGACGUCNAGUCAGCAUGGUGCUUAUGUCCAGGGCGACACACAUCCUACAAUGGCGAANAACAAAGGGUUGCCAAGCCGUAAGGCGGAGCUAAUCCCUGAAAUUUCGCCUCAGUUCANAUUGAGGGCUGAAAUUCNCCCUCAUGAANUUGNAAUUGNUAGUAAUCGCGGGUCANCANACCNCGGUGAAUACGUUCUCNGGNCUUGNACACACCGCCCGUCNAGUGANCAAANUNGNNNGUACCCNAANUGUCCNCCUNGNUGGAUCCNA
Molecule: ribosomal RNA, 1349 nt
Filed under: uncultured bacterium
Lineage: Bacteria
Description: bacterial SSU rRNA
Rfam family: Bacterial small subunit ribosomal RNA
Source: RNAcentral